AAAUUGAAGAGUUUGAUCAUGGCUCAGAUUGAACGCUGGCGGCAGGCCUAACACAUGCAAGUCGAACGGUAACAGGAAGCAGCUUGCUGCUUCGCUGACGAGUGGCGGACGGGUGAGUAAUGUCUGGGAAACUGCCUGAUGGAGGGGGGAUAACUACUGGAAACGGUAGCUAAUACCGCAUAACGUCGCAAGACCAAAGAGGGGGACCUUCGGGCCUCUUGCCAUCGGAUGUGCCCAGAUGGGAUUAGCUAGUAGGUGGGGUAACGGCUCACCUAGGCGACGAUCCCUAGCUGGUCUGAGAGGAUGACCAGCCACACUGGAACUGAGACACGGUCCAGACUCCUACGGGAGGCAGCAGUGGGGAAUAUUGCACAAUGGGCGCAAGCCUGAUGCAGCCAUGCCGCGUGUAUGAAGAAGGCCUUCGGGUUGUAAAGUACUUUCAGCGGGGAGGAAGGCGAUAAGGUUAAUAACCUUGUCGAUUGACGUUACCCGCAGAAGAAGCACCGGCUAACUCCGUGCCAGCAGCCGCGGUAAUACGGAGGGUGCAAGCGUUAAUCGGAAUUACUGGGCGUAAAGCGCACGCAGGCGGUCUGUCAAGUCGGAUGUGAAAUCCCCGGGCUCAACCUCGGGAACUGCAUUCGAAACUGGCAGGCUAGAGUCUUGUAGAGGGGGGUAGAAUUCCGGUGUAGCGGUGAAAUGCGUAGAGAUCUGGAGGAAUACCGGUGGCGAAGGCGGCCCCCCUGGACAAAGACUGACGCUCAGGUGCGAAAGCGUGGGGAGCAAACAGGAUUAGAUACCCUCGGUAGUCCACGCCGUAAACGAUGUCGACUUGGAGGUUGUGCCCUUGAGGCGUGGCUUCCGGAGCUAACGCGUUAAGUCGACCGCCCUGGGGAGUACGGCCGCAAGGUUAAAACUCAAAUGAAUUGACGGGGGCCCGCACAAGCGGUGGAGCAUGUGGUUUAAUUCGAUGCAACGCGAAGAACCUUACCUACUCUUGACAUCCAGAGAACUUAGCAGAGAUGCUUUGGUGCCUUCGGGAACUCUGAGACAGGUGCUGCAUGGCUGUCGUCAGCUCGUGUUGUGAAAUGUUGGGUUAAGUCCCGCAACGAGCGCAACCCUUAUCCUUUGUUGCCAGCGGUUAGGCCGGGAACUCAAAGGAGACUGCCAGUGAUAAACUGGAGGAAGGUGGGGAUGACGUCAAGUCAUCAUGGCCCUUACGAGUAGGGCUACACACGUGCUACAAUGGCGCAUACAAAGAGAAGCGACCUCGCGAGAGCAAGCGGACCUCAUAAAGUGCGUCGUAGUCCGGAUUGGAGUCUGCAACUCGACUCCAUGAAGUCGGAAUCGCUAGUAAUCGUGGAUCAGAAUGCCACGGUGAAUACGUUCCCGGGCCUUGUACACACCGCCCGUCACACCAUGGGAGUGGGUUGCAAAAGAAGUAGGUAGCUUAACCUUCGGGAGGGCGCUUACCACUUUGUGAUUCAUGACUGGGGUGAAGUCGUAACAAGGUAACCGUAGGGGAACCUGCGGUUGGAUCACCUCCUUA
RNAcentral lists this ribosomal RNA (1546 nucleotides) under Enterobacter hormaechei. Its description in RNAcentral is "bacterial SSU rRNA". It matches the Rfam family "Bacterial small subunit ribosomal RNA". Lineage: Bacteria; Pseudomonadati; Pseudomonadota; Gammaproteobacteria; Enterobacterales; Enterobacteriaceae. The record is from RNAcentral.